This 477-nucleotide ribosomal RNA is filed under the name uncultured bacterium. RNAcentral's name for it is "partial 16S ribosomal RNA". It matches the Rfam family "Bacterial small subunit ribosomal RNA", at positions 30 to 507 of the family's 1533-position model. The record is from RNAcentral.
AUUGAACGCUGGCGGCAUGCCUUACACAUGCAAGUCGAACGGUAACAGGUUAAGCUGCCGAGUGGCGAACGGGUGAGUAAUGUAUCGGAACGUGCCCAGUCGUGGGGGAUAACUGCUCGAAAGAGCAACUAAUACCGCAUACGACCUGAGGGUGAAAGCGGGGGAUCGCAAGACCUCGCGCGAUUGGAGCGGCCGAUAUCAGAUUAGGUAGUUGGUGAGGUAAAGGCUCACCAAGCCGACGAUCUGUAGCUGGUCUGAGAGGACGACCAGCCACACUGGGACUGAGACACGGCCCAGACUCCUACGGGAGGCAGCAGUGGGGAAUUUUGGACAAUGGGCGCAAGCCUGAUCCAGCCAUGCCGCGUGCGGGAAGAAGGCCUUCGGGUUGUAAACCGCUUUUGUCAGGGAAGAAAAGGUUCUGGCUAAUACCUGGGACUCAUGACGGUACCUGAAGAAUAAGCACCGGCUAACUACGUG